CCAAUGAGAGGAGCGUAUUUGAAACACCACUUUCGAAAUGUCCUAUUUGACACGAACUCAGCUGAUCGUUACUAAACUAACUGGAUCUCAAGCCUUGUCUACUUUUUCCUACUUGUUACACGAUUGUGGCUAAUAAGAUUUUUAAAAAGAAGGCUUUCUGCAGAGAAAAUGAGCUCUGGAAAAGCACUACAGUCAAUGUCUCCUCACAACAAUCAACCGCCGCCGACACCAAGCUUGGCGAAAAGAAAGAAGAUUCAAGAGAAGUCUGCAAUAAGGAGUCCAACAGACAGUGUGAUGUCCCCAUGUACAAGACAGCUCAUGAAGAAAGCUAUCAAGGACAUACCGUCAUCUCCCAGACCCCGACGGGAAGCGAAAGAGAACACUGCAAAUAAAUGAAUGACCUUUUUAUGUACAGUGUGAUGUCUUUACGGUAUUCCUCUCUCUGCUAAGAUGGUCAGAGCAAUCAAUCAUUGACACUUUCCUGACAUUAUAUACCGUCUUUUUAAGAUGUUCUUACUAACCAAGCUGCUCACACUUUAUUGAUCCAUUAUGCAAUAUGGGGGUGAGGGGGUUAUAUUCUUCAUCAAUAUGGUGUAUAUGGUGGAGGGGGUUAUAUUCUUCAUCAAUAUGGUGUAUAUGGUGGAGGGGGUUACAUUCUUCAUCAAUAUGGUGUUUAUGUGGGGGGGGGGGGGGGGUGUAUAUUCUUAAUCUAAAUCGCACUGUUCGGGUUUAUUGUUAUUCUUGUGAAUGUAUAAUGCUAUUUGCACUUUAGAGGACAUAUGCUGUUCAUUGUACACUGCUUUAAGUGGGGGGGUGGGGUUAUCUCAAACAAGUGUUCUGUAUGUGUGCCCUUUGCACAGGUAGAUUUCCAUGGUUUAAGAAAAUAAAACAAAAAGUAGACUACUUUAUAUUCUGUUUGUACAUUGGCUUUAUGUUGCUCAGUUUUAAAUAUGUAACUAGCAAAAAAAGGACUUAGCUCACUGCUUUCAAUAAACAUAUUUGAUAUGGAAGAGA
Non-coding RNA from Oncorhynchus mykiss (rainbow trout), 1014 nucleotides. The record is from RefSeq and is a predicted model, not a curated record. Lineage: Eukaryota; Metazoa; Chordata; Actinopteri; Salmoniformes; Salmonidae.